This 1204-nucleotide ribosomal RNA is filed under the name Staphylococcus epidermidis. RNAcentral's name for it is "bacterial SSU rRNA". It matches the Rfam family "Bacterial small subunit ribosomal RNA", at positions 45 to 1231 of the family's 1533-position model. Lineage: Bacteria; Bacillati; Bacillota; Bacilli; Caryophanales; Staphylococcaceae. The record is from RNAcentral.
UGCUAACAUGCAGUCGAGCGAACAGACGAGGAGCUUGCUCCUCUGACGUUAGCGGCGGACGGGUGAGUAACACGUGGAUAACCUACCUAUAAGACUGGGAUAACUUCGGGAAACCGGAGCUAAUACCGGAUAAUAUAUUGAACCGCAUGGUUCAAUAGUGAAAGACGGUUUUGCUGUCACUUAUAGAUGGAUCCGCGCCGCAUUAGCUAGUUGGUAAGGUAACGGCUUACCAAGGCAACGAUGCGUAGCCGACCUGAGAGGGUGAUCGGCCACACUGGAACUGAGACACGGUCCAGACUCCUACGGGAGGCAGCAGUAGGGAAUCUUCCGCAAUGGGCGAAAGCCUGACGGAGCAACGCCGCGUGAGUGAUGAAGGUCUUCGGAUCGUAAAACUCUGUUAUUAGGGAAGAACAAAUGUGUAAGUAACUAUGCACGUCUUGACGGUACCUAAUCAGAAAGCCACGGCUAACUACGUGCCAGCAGCCGCGGUAAUACGUAGGUGGCAAGCGUUAUCCGGAAUUAUUGGGCGUAAAGCGCGCGUAGGCGGUUUUUUAAGUCUGAUGUGAAAGCCCACGGCUCAACCGUGGAGGGUCAUUGGAAACUGGAAAACUUGAGUGCAGAAGAGGAAAGUGGAAUUCCAUGUGUAGCGGUGAAAUGCGCAGAGAUAUGGAGGAACACCAGUGGCGAAGGCGACUUUCUGGUCUGUAACUGACGCUGAUGUGCGAAAGCGUGGGGAUCAAACAGGAUUAGAUACCCUGGUAGUCCACGCCGUAAACGAUGAGUGCUAAGUGUUAGGGGGUUUCCGCCCCUUAGUGCUGCAGCUAACGCAUUAAGCACUCCGCCUGGGGAGUACGACCGCAAGGUUGAAACUCAAAGGAAUUGACGGGGACCCGCACAAGCGGUGGAGCAUGUGGUUUAAUUCGAAGCAACGCGAAGAACCUUACCAAAUCUUGACAUCCUCUGACCCCUCUAGAGAUAGAGUUUUCCCCUUCGGGGGACAGAGUGACAGGUGGUGCAUGGUUGUCGUCAGCUCGUGUCGUGAGAUGUUGGGGUUAAGUCCCGCAACGAGCGCAACCCUUAAGCUUAGUUGCCAUCAUUAAGUUGGGCACUCUAAGUUGACUGCCGGUGACAAACCGGAGGAAAGGUGGGGGAUGACGUCAAAUCAUCAUGCCCCUUAUGAUUUGGGCUACACACGUGCUACAAU